AGAGUUUGAUCCUGGCUCAGGAUGAACGCUAGCGGCAGGCUUAACACAUGCGAGUCGAGGGGUAACAUUGGUGCUUGCACCAGAUGACGACCGGCGCACGGGUGCGUAACGCGUAUGCAACCUACCUUUUACUGGGGGAUAGCCCGAAGAAAUUCGGAUUAAUACCGCAUAACAAUUUUAAACUGCAUGGUUUAAAAUUUAAAACUACGGUGGUAAAAGAUGGGCAUGCGUGACAUUAGCUAGUUGGUGAGGUAAUGGCUCACCAAGGCGACGAUGUCUAGGGGUUCUUAAAGGAAGGUCCCCCACACUGGUACUGAGACACGGACCAGACUCCUACGGGAGGCAGCAGUGAGGAAUAUUGGUCAAUGGACGGAAGUCUGAACCAGCCAUGCCGCGUGCAGGAUGACUGCCCUAUGGGUUGUAAACUGCUUUUAUACAGGGAGAACACUACUCUUGCGAGAGUAACUGACGGUACUGUAUGAAUAAGGAUCGGCUAACUCCGUGCCAGCCGCCGCGGUAAU
RNAcentral lists this ribosomal RNA (521 nucleotides) under uncultured bacterium. RNAcentral's name for it is "bacterial SSU rRNA". It matches the Rfam family "Bacterial small subunit ribosomal RNA", at positions 8 to 524 of the family's 1533-position model. The record is from RNAcentral.